AGUGAACGCUGGCGGUAGGCCUAACACAUGCAAGUCGAACGGCAGCACAGUAAGAGCUUGCUCUUACGGGUGGCGAGUGGCGGACGGGUGAGGAAUACAUCGGAAUCUACUUUUUCGGGGGGGAUAACGUAGGGAAACUUACGCUAAUAGCGCAUACGACCUACGGGGGAAAGCAGGGGAUCUUCGGACCUUGCGCGAUUGAAUGAGCCGAUGUCGGAUUAGCUAGUUGGCGGGGUAAAGGCCCACCAAGGCGACGAUCCGUAGCUGGUCUGAGAGGAUGAUCAGCCACACUGGAACUGAGACACGGUCCAGACUCCUACGGGAGGCAGCAGUGGGGAAUCUUGGACAAUGGGCGCAAGCCUGAUCCAGCCAUGCCGCGUGAGUGAAGAAGGCCUUCGGGUUGUAAAGCCCUUUUGUUAGGAAAGAACAGCAGCAGGUUAAUCCCCCGCUGUUCUGACGGUACCCAAAGAAUAAGCACCGGCUAACUUCGUG
RNAcentral lists this ribosomal RNA (492 nucleotides) under uncultured bacterium. Its description in RNAcentral is "partial 16S ribosomal RNA". It matches the Rfam family "Bacterial small subunit ribosomal RNA", at positions 29 to 507 of the family's 1533-position model. The record is from RNAcentral.